RNAcentral lists this ribosomal RNA (492 nucleotides) under uncultured bacterium. RNAcentral describes it as "partial 16S ribosomal RNA". It matches the Rfam family "Bacterial small subunit ribosomal RNA", at positions 29 to 507 of the family's 1533-position model. The record is from RNAcentral.
AGUGAACGCUGGCGGUAGGCCUAACACAUGCAAGUCGAACGGCAGCACAGUCAGAGCUUGCUCUUACGGGUGGCGAGUGGCGGACGGGUGAGGAAUACAUCGGAAUCUACUUUUUCGUGGGGGAUAACGUCGGGAAACUUACGCUAAUACCGCAUACGACCUACGGGUGAAAGCAGGGGAUCUUCGGCCCUUGCGCGAUUGAAUGAGCCGAUGUCGGAUUAGCUAGUUGGCGGGGUAAAGGCCCACCAAGGCGACGAUCCGUAGCUGGUCUGAGAGGAUGAUCAGCCACACUGGAACUGAGACACGGUCCAGACUCCUACGGGAGGCAGCAGUGGGGAAUAUUGGACAAUGGGCGCAAGCCUGAUCCAGCAAUACCGCGUGGGUGAAGAAGGCCUUCGGGUUGUAAAGCCCUUUUGUUGGGAAAGAAAAGCAGCAGGUUAAUACCCCGCUGUUCUGACGGUACCCAAAGAAUAAGCACCGGCUAACUUCGUG